GCGUGUAGUAUUUUCAAUUUGUCAAAAUUUAUUUUUAUUUUGUUAGCAAAAUUUGAUAUUUUAGAGUUUAUUUUAAAUGUUAAACGUAAAAAAAAAGAAUUUUUGUAAAGCAAAAUAUCUACUUCUUUCACUAAUAAUUUGAGUUCUGAUGGUCUUAGGAAUUUCUUAAAAUUUUUUAACGUUCAUUUUAUCAUUACAAUUAAUCAAUUGAAUUCUGAAAAAACAUUUAAGCUUACUGGAUCCAGAUUAAAUUUCGAAAAGUUACUAUAAAGUUAAGUGUUUGCUGUAAACGUUUUACUGUGUUUAUUGAAUAUUUACAAUUAAUUUGGUUAAAAAUGCUUGAUUUAACUUUCGCAAUGGAUUUGUUACAAUAGUGGAGAGGUUUUACAUUUAAAUAGUUUGAUUUUAGCAUUUUCUACCAAACUGAAUGUGUGAAUACUCAAUAAUUAUGAUAACUUUGAAAUGUUAACAAAUGCAUGCAGCAUCCUUCUGCAAAGGUGAAUAGCUUCAAUUAACACAUACCUAAUAUUACAUAUUAAUAUUACUAAAUUACAUUAGCAAAUUAGUAUGUACAUAAUGUUAUAAGAAAUAAUAGAAGAAAAACUUGAAGUGAAUAUAUGUACAUAAAUGUAACUAUCUGAGAACAUGAAAAAUAAAUUGAUAAUUACAAUUACGUAAAACAAAUUUUAUUAUUUUAUAUUUUUACUUUCAGAUAUUUAAAUUUUAAA
Long non-coding RNA from Condylostylus longicornis, 728 nucleotides. RefSeq lists it as uncharacterized. The record is from RefSeq and is a predicted model, not a curated record. The transcript is spliced from 3 exons. NCBI's taxonomy places the organism in Eukaryota, Metazoa, Arthropoda, Insecta, Diptera, Dolichopodidae.